This 247-nucleotide ribosomal RNA is filed under the name uncultured bacterium. Its description in RNAcentral is "partial 16S ribosomal RNA". It matches the Rfam family "Bacterial small subunit ribosomal RNA", at positions 1254 to 1500 of the family's 1533-position model. The record is from RNAcentral.
AUAGAGAUAUUAAGCAAAACUCAUAAAAGUAGUCUCAGUUCGGAUUGAAGGCUGAAAUUCGCCUACAUGAAGCUGGAAUUGCUAGUAAUGGCAGGUCAGCAUACUGCCGUGAAUACGUUCCCGGGCCUUGUACACACCGCCCGUCACACCAUGAGAGUUGGGGAUACCCGAAGCCUGUGAGCCAACUGUAAAGAGGCAGCAGUCGAAGGUAGAAUCAAUGAUUGGGGUGAAGUCGUAACAAGGUAUC